RNAcentral lists this ribosomal RNA (837 nucleotides) under Lactiplantibacillus pentosus. Its description in RNAcentral is "bacterial SSU rRNA". It matches the Rfam family "Bacterial small subunit ribosomal RNA", at positions 57 to 858 of the family's 1533-position model. Lineage: Bacteria; Bacillati; Bacillota; Bacilli; Lactobacillales; Lactobacillaceae. The record is from RNAcentral.
GCAAGUCGAACGAACUCUGGUAUUGAUUGGUGCUUGCAUCAUGAUUUACAUCUUGAGUGAGUGGCGAACUGGUGAGUAACACGUGGGAAACCUGCCCAGAAGCGGGGGAUAACACCUGGAAACAGAUGCUAAUACCGCAUAACAACUUGGACCGCAUGGUCCGAGCUUGAAAGAUGGCUUCGGCUAUCACUUUUGGAUGGUCCCGCGGCGUAUUAGCUAGAUGGUGGGGUAACGGCUCACCAUGGCAAUGAUACGUAGCCGACCUGAGAGGGUAAUCGGCCACAUUGGGACUGAGACACGGCCCAAACUCCUACGGGAGGCAGCAGUAGGGAAUCUUCCACAAUGGACGAAAGUCUGAUGGAGCAACGCCGCGUGAGUGAAGAAGGGUUUCGGCUCGUAAAACUCUGUUGUUAAAGAAGAACAUAUCUGAGAGUAACUGUUCAGGUAUUGACGGUAUUUAACCAGAAAGCCACGGCUAACUACGUGCCAGCAGCCGCGGUAAUACGUAGGUGGCAAGCGUUGUCCGGAUUUAUUGGGCGUAAAGCGAGCGCAGGCGGUUUUUUAAGUCUGAUGUGAAAGCCUUCGGCUCAACCGAAGAAGUGCAUCGGAAACUGGGAAACUUGAGUGCAGAAGAGGACAGUGGAACUCCAUGUGUAGCGGUGAAAUGCGUAGAUAUAUGGAAGAACACCAGUGGCGAAGGCGGCUGUCUGGUCUGUAACUGACGCUGAGGCUCGAAAGUAUGGGUAGCAAACAGGAUUAGAUACUCUGGUAGUCCAUACCGUAAACGAUGAAUGCUAAGUGUUGGAGGGUUCCGCCCUUCAGUGCUGCAGCUAACGC